This 304-nucleotide signal recognition particle RNA is filed under the name Vombatus ursinus (common wombat). RNAcentral describes it as "Metazoan signal recognition particle RNA (ENSVURG00010023491.1)". It matches the Rfam family "Metazoan signal recognition particle RNA". From Rfam's summary of the family: The signal recognition particle (SRP) is a universally conserved ribonucleoprotein. It is involved in the co-translational targeting of proteins to membranes. The eukaryotic SRP consists of a 300-nucleotide 7S RNA and six proteins: SRPs 72, 68, 54, 19, 14, and 9. The record is from Rfam by way of RNAcentral. Lineage: Eukaryota; Metazoa; Chordata; Mammalia; Diprotodontia; Vombatidae.
GCUAGGUGUGGUGGUGAACACCUGCAAUCUCAACCAACCAAGAGGCUGAAGUCAACAGAAUUCUUGUGCUUGGGACUUCUGAGUGGCUGCAGACUAUGCCAAUCAGGGGUCCACACUAAGUUUAGUAUUGAUAUCGUGUGCCCCACCUCCAGAGGUAAGGGGGAUGCCAGGUGCCAGAGAAGGGAUUAAUCAAUCUAGGUUGGAAAAGGAGCAGAUCAAAGUUUCCCUGCGAAUCAAUAGUGGGAGCAGUCCAUGAAUAGCCCCUGCAUUCUAGCCUAGGCAAGAUGGGAAGACACAGUAUUUU